GAUCCUGGCUCAGGACGAACGCUGGCGGCGUGCCUAAUACAUGCAAGUCGAACGAGAGCGACCGGUGCUUGCACUGGUCAAUCUAGUGGCGAACGGGUGAGUAACACGUGGGUAACCUGCCCAUCAGAGGGGGAUAACAUUCGGAAACGGAUGCUAAAACCGCAUAGGUUCUUGGGUCGCAUGACCCGAGAAGGAAAAGAGGCUUCGGCUUCUGCUGAUGGAUGGACCCGCGGUGCAUUAG
RNAcentral lists this ribosomal RNA (241 nucleotides) under uncultured bacterium. RNAcentral's name for it is "partial 16S ribosomal RNA". It matches the Rfam family "Bacterial small subunit ribosomal RNA", at positions 15 to 244 of the family's 1533-position model. The record is from RNAcentral.